RNAcentral lists this ribosomal RNA (398 nucleotides) under Crocodylus suchus (West African crocodile). Its description in RNAcentral is "partial 12S ribosomal RNA". It matches the Rfam family "Bacterial small subunit ribosomal RNA", at positions 854 to 1405 of the family's 1533-position model. The record is from RNAcentral. Lineage: Eukaryota; Metazoa; Chordata; Crocodylia; Crocodylidae.
AACUACACACUACACUCGCCAGGGAAUUACGAGCAAUUUGCUUAAAACUCAAAGGACUUGACGGUAUUUCGAACCCCCCUAGAGGAGCCUGUCCUGUAAUCGAUAACACACGAUCCACCUAACCACCUUUUGCCCUAAACAGCCUGUAUACCGCCGUCGCAAGCUAAGCCCGUGAGGGACAAAACCCCAGCACAAUAACACACCUCUAAGCUAGUACGUCAGGUCAAGGUGCAGCCUAUAAGUUGGUAGAGACGGGCUACAUUUUCUACAUCAUAGAAAUUGGUCACGGAGAGGCCUGUGAAACCAGGACUGUCAAAGACGGAUUUAGCAGUAAAUUAGGAGAAGAGUGCCUAAUUGAAGGUGGCCCCGGAAUAUGUACACACCGCCCGUCACCCUCC